Molecule: ribosomal RNA, 482 nt
Filed under: uncultured bacterium
Lineage: Bacteria
Description: partial 16S ribosomal RNA
Rfam family: Bacterial small subunit ribosomal RNA
Source: RNAcentral
AUUGAACGCUGGCGGCAUGCUUUACACAUGCAAGUCGAACGGUAACAGGCCGCAAGGUGCUGACGAGUGGCGAACGGGUGAGUAAUGCAUCGGAACGUGCCCAGUCGUGGGGGAUAACUACUCGAAAGAGUAGCUAAUACCGCAUACGAUCUAUGGAUGAAAGCGGGGGACCGUAAGGCCUCGCGCGAUUGGAGCGGUCGAUGUCAGAUUAGGUAGUUGGUGGGGUAAAGGCUCACCAAGCCAACGAUCUGUAGCUGGUCUGAGAGGACGACCAGCCACACUGGGACUGAGACACGGCCCAGACUCCUACGGGAGGCAGCAGUGGGGAAUUUUGGACAAUGGGCGCAAGCCUGAUCCAGCAAUGCCGCGUGCAGGAAGAAGGCCUUCGGGUUGUAAACUGCUUUUGUACGGAACGAAACGGCUCUGGUUAAUACCCGGGGCUAAUGACGGUACCGUAAGAAUAAGCACCGGCUAACUACGUG